GGAGAAUUAGCUCAGCUGGGAGAGCAUCUGCCUUACAAGCAGAGGGUCGGCGCGGCGGUUCGAACCCGUCAUUCUCCACCA
RNAcentral lists this transfer RNA (81 nucleotides) under Staphylococcus aureus. Its description in RNAcentral is "tRNA-Val". It matches the Rfam family "tRNA". Rfam says of the family: Transfer RNA (tRNA) molecules are approximately 80 nucleotides in length. Their secondary structure includes four short double-helical elements and three loops (D, anti-codon, and T loops). The record is from RNAcentral. Lineage: Bacteria; Bacillati; Bacillota; Bacilli; Caryophanales; Staphylococcaceae.